This 733-nucleotide long non-coding RNA is filed under the name Canis lupus familiaris (dog). RNAcentral describes it as "lncRNA (ENSCAFG00000003672.6)". The record is from RNAcentral. Lineage: Eukaryota; Metazoa; Chordata; Mammalia; Carnivora; Canidae.
CGGCUUCCUUAAGGCGGCCCGGCUGUCCCCGGCGGCGCGCGCCUCUGCGGCCCGGAAGCGUCGGUGACCUUGGGGCCGACUGGAGGGAGGCGCCUGCCGCGAUCCCCGCCGGAGGCUGGCGCCUGUCGCCGCUCGGCCCCUCUCCCCGGGUCCGUCCCUGGGCGCUGGGACGGGGCUUCGUGCGCGCGCUCCUUUCCGGGCUCCUCUCCGGCAAGACCGGCCCCGGCCGGCCCGUGCCCCCGGGUGGGGGGACCCGCGGCCGCCCGCGAGCUGGACGGCGCAGAGCCGGCGAGCGCGCGCGCGAACGGGGGCCGCAGCCCCGGGGGUCCGUGGGACCGCGCCGUCGGGGGCCGGGCCUGCGGGCUGGGGAGCGGCGGGGCCGAGGCCGGCCCAGGACCUGCUGCAGCGCGAGGUCGCCGGCGCCGGGUGGUCCCCUCCCGCCUCCGCCGAGCGGCCGGGACGGCCUCGGGUUCCCUCCCCGAGGAGCGGGGUGACAGCGUGGAUUUCAAAGGGGUCCCGUAGUCAGAGGGCCCUCCACCAGGACGUCAGGUGCAGAGCAACAACAGGGAAUCGCGGGGGUCGGGGCGCGGAUGGAGGCAGUCCGUCCCCCGAGGAGGACCUACUACUGGCCGCACGUUGCCCAGGGGCUGGGCUCCAAAACCAACACAGGGAAAGGAUUUUGUCAGAAGGAAGUACUCUUUGCUGUGUCUGCUGUCAGAAGGCCCACUUGUGA